CGAAGUCGCAAGCUCGCGAGAGUAAGCUAAUCUCUUAAAGCCGUUCUCAGUUCGGACUGUAGGCUGCAACUCGCCUACACGAAGUCGGAAUCGCUAGUAAUCGCGGAUCAGCAUGCCGCGGUGAAUACGUUCCCGGGCCUUGUACACACCGCCCGUCACACCAUGGGAGUUUGUAACGCCCAAGGUCGGUGGCCUAACCUUUAUGGAGGGAGCCGCCUAAGGCGGGACAGAUGACUGGGGUGAAGUCGUAACAAGGUAUC
This 260-nucleotide ribosomal RNA is filed under the name uncultured bacterium. RNAcentral's name for it is "partial 16S ribosomal RNA". It matches the Rfam family "Bacterial small subunit ribosomal RNA", at positions 1242 to 1500 of the family's 1533-position model. The record is from RNAcentral.